CUUGGACAAAGGGUUGUCACCAGUUCUGAAUCUGGCUGUGAUCCCAAAGCAGCGUGUAUGUGAAGGUUGCUCACUUAGUGGAGACAUGUCAUCUGGCAACCUCUACUGCUUGUCCUGUGAGAGUACUGUCAUUCACUUGGCUGUGAUGACUCCUAGAGAUAUGGGUGAUAUCAUUCCAAGGGAGUGAUCCUGCAUCAUUUUUUUUGAACUGGUCAAAGAGGAUGUUCUAUUGGGUAGAGAGAGUGGCCUGUCCUUACAGAGCAUGGACCCAACUGGCAAGAAUAUAGGAGAGAAAAAUGAUUCAAAGACAGUAAGGCUAUCCUUAUACACUGAAUCAAGCAGCAUCUUUUGGACUACCAGAGAUUUUAAUAAGACUGGAAUGAUGAGCCAGGCCCUUGGAAUGAGAUGGAAGUAUUCUACAACCUAGAGGUUUUAGGAGAGGACUAAUUCAGAGUUUCAAGGUGGCCAGCAGAAAGUAUGGCUCUGAGGGCAUGGGACUCCAGAGCCCAACACAAUCCCUACAUUCAAUUAUGGAAUUUAUCAGGAAGGCUACACAGAAGAUCUCACAAGUGGAAUUCAAUCGAAUGGGCCUGGAUCUUCAGAUGAAAAUUGUCCAAAGCAGGUCCAGUGGAGAAGUGGGUCUUCAGUCCUCUGUUCUAGCUGCCAGCAGCCAGUCCAAACAGGAUUCCUCUUUCUUCAACUAGUAUCACCAAAAGCCAGAAACCUGUUGUCAAACCUCCAACCCGAGGUCCUUCAGGAGAGAAGUGCCAAGACUGUUGGGACCUUAGAAUCUUUACCCAGAUCUUGACCCUUAGGCUCCCAUGUGACUGUCACAUGCUCUUGUCAUUUCUUUUUGUACGUUUCCCUUUCUUUGAUCUCUUUGGGGUCAUGGGUCUAAUAGUGUUGCUGUUGGAUUAAAGGAUAUGCACAAUUUAGUAACAUUUUGUGAACACGUCGGGGCUACUUUUCGAAAUGGCUAUAUAUCUAUUCAGUUCUACCAACAAUGCAUUAAUGUGCCUAUGCAAAAUAUAUUAUGUAGGAUACAUAAGAGCCUUUGUCGACUCAGAUUUUUGCCUCUACAUAUUUACCAACUCUGGAUGAUCUUAGAUGCAUGACUUUCAAAGUUUGUCAGGGCUGGGGAGGCUACAAGGUGAAGUCAGUACUAACUGCCAUUCAGAGAGAACGUGGGGUUGGGGAGAAGUACAAGAAUCCUUUCCACAGCACAGUGGGGGUUGGGGUGUGGCAAUCUAGAAAAUCCCACAUAAAAUAUUUUGUCCCGCCCCCCCCCCUUCAUACCAGAGAAGUCUGAAUAUUUUCUUUUUCUUUUAUGGGUUGUUACCUUCUUGUGAAAUCUGGGUUAAGAAUUUGGUCAUAGGCAAUAUAAUUUCUAAGCUUUUUCUGUCAUCCACUGACCUUUGCGUGUCAUCUGGGGCUUCUACCAAACUCCCUGCAAAUUGCCAUUUAGUUGAUUAUGCUGACAUGGAACAUAUCAAAAUCAUGAUGGGGUAGUAGUGAUGUGGAAGGGAUAUCUGCACUUUGUGAAGCAACAGAUAGGUGAACUAGGGGCUAGUGGUCUUAUAUUUGAGAUUUUCUUGCCACAGAUAGAGUGAUUGCCUCAGUCUCCUCAUAUGUAAAAUGAGCUGCAGAAGGAAAUGGUCGAGGGCUAAGUGACUUGUCUGAGGCCACAUUUGAACUCAAGAAAAU
This 1704-nucleotide long non-coding RNA is filed under the name Monodelphis domestica (gray short-tailed opossum). RNAcentral describes it as "lncRNA (ENSMODG00000030791.2)". Lineage: Eukaryota; Metazoa; Chordata; Mammalia; Didelphimorphia; Didelphidae. The record is from RNAcentral.